UAGGGAAUCUUCCACAAUGGGCGCAAGCCUGAUGGAGCAACACCGCGUGAGUGAAGAAGGGUUUCGGCUCGUAAAGCUCUGUUGUUGGAGAAGAACGUGCGUGAGAGUAACUGUUCACGCAGUGACGGUAUCCAACCAGAAGUCACGGCUAACUACGUGCC
RNAcentral lists this ribosomal RNA (161 nucleotides) under uncultured bacterium. RNAcentral describes it as "partial 16S ribosomal RNA". It matches the Rfam family "Bacterial small subunit ribosomal RNA", at positions 355 to 509 of the family's 1533-position model. The record is from RNAcentral.